UGGAAUUAUCAUUAGGGACCACUCCUUAAGUGGGACACAUGUUGUAUUGUGAAUGAUCAAAAGAUUUGGGUGGACCCAUUCAAUACAAACCACUCACCAACACUCUCCAGGGGCGGGGGUAACAAAAAGAAACGAAAAGAUCCUCUUCUCCCUCCACUGACCCUCCAACCAAAUCUCUCUCUCAGCUGGUGAAAAGAAAAGGUUAAAAACAAAAAGAAAAGUAAAAAGAGGAGACUAUACAUUACCUCCCUCACCCACUCAAAAAAACGGAUACUCUCUCACCUAUUAAACAAAAAAAUAAAAAGAAGAAACUUCUUCUGGAAAAGGAACGAAAAAUUAAAAGAGGUUCAUCAACCCUUCC
Molecule: long non-coding RNA, 361 nt
Filed under: Lathyrus oleraceus (garden pea)
Lineage: Eukaryota; Viridiplantae; Streptophyta; Magnoliopsida; Fabales; Fabaceae
Description: Pisum sativum (pea) long non-coding RNA (PSAT_LNC034325)
Source: RNAcentral